Long non-coding RNA from Ipomoea nil (Japanese morning glory), 352 nucleotides. RefSeq lists it as uncharacterized. The record is from RefSeq and is a predicted model, not a curated record. Lineage: Eukaryota; Viridiplantae; Streptophyta; Magnoliopsida; Solanales; Convolvulaceae. The transcript has 3 exons.
AUGGAAGUGAAUCAGUGAUUGAUUAUUGGUUAGUACACUUUUUCAUUAUUUUUCUUCCACCAGCAAAGUUUGCUCAUCUCUAGGUGAACUAUAACAACCUUAAGAAAAAGUGGAGAUUUUUUAGAACUUAAACAUCUAGCUAUUACAUCAGGAGGAAGGGAUACUGAAGGAAAUGAAGGAUAAUUCUGUUCAUUUCGUAUUCCAUGAUGGUUCUAAUAGUAACAAGCUACGUUCAAACUAGGUAAGAGGAAUGAAGAAGAACAAGGCCCCAAUGAAGAUUCAAGCAGGUCAUAUUCAAAAGGCUGUUAGGUGUUUCUUUUGUAAGAAAAGAAAUAUUGUACUAAAACAAGAG